Molecule: long non-coding RNA, 709 nt
Filed under: Penaeus japonicus
Lineage: Eukaryota; Metazoa; Arthropoda; Malacostraca; Decapoda; Penaeidae
Description: uncharacterized LOC122244633
Source: RNAcentral
CGACUACACACACUGAACACACACACACACACACACACACACGCACAUAUAUUUCCCCUCCCCCCCACACACUCUUCUCUAACUUCCUUACAUAAAACAAACACUGCAGCGUGAUUAUGAAUAGGAAGCAUACGAGGCACAUCUGAAGCAAAGUUUUCUUUCGGUGUCAAACCACAUUCCUCCUCGGCCCAUUACCCUCUCAACAACGCUCACUCAGUAUUUUUUCCUUCCCUAAGUGUAUUUCUCUCUCGUUCCUCUUUUUUUUUUCUUUGUUAAUGUAUUCAUACCUCCAUUAGAUAAACAACCAUCCAUGAUAAAAGCGACGAUCAAAUAGUUUUCUCACAGAUUCAUUUUCUUUCCCACACCACACGUGCGAGUCGGCAUGAAUAGGAGUUCCAUCUUUUUGAUAAGCUUACUGGCAUUGAUGUUACCGCUGGAGAUUGUGAGCGAACCGGCAGCGGCGUCUUUGGCCAUCCAUCCAGCUCUGUUCGCCGCCUUUCAAGUCGGGAAGAUGCGAUAUGCUGAAAGCAAGACAAAAGCUCAUCCGAAGAGAAGCUGUCCAGGAAAUUGACGAGCACGAAAAGGCCAACUGGGCCGAAUGGCGAGAGAGAGAGAGAGAGAGAGAGAGAGAGGGAGAGAGAGAGAGAGAGAGAGAGAGAGAGAGAGAGAGAGAGAGAGAGAGAGAGAGAGAGAGAGAGAGAGGGGAGAG